Molecule: ribosomal RNA, 2873 nt
Filed under: Staphylococcus aureus subsp. aureus CIG1835
Lineage: Bacteria; Bacillati; Bacillota; Bacilli; Caryophanales; Staphylococcaceae
Description: bacterial LSU rRNA
Rfam family: Bacterial large subunit ribosomal RNA
Source: RNAcentral
AUGAAGGACGUUACUAACGACGAUAUGCUUUGGGGAGCUGUAAGUAAGCUUUGAUCCAGAGAUUUCCGAAUGGGGAAACCCAGCAUGAGUUAUGUCAUGUUAUCGAUAUGUGAAUACAUAGCAUAUCAGAAGGCACACCCGGAGAACUGAAACAUCUUAGUACCCGGAGGAAGAGAAAGAAAAUUCGAUUCCCUUAGUAGCGGCGAGCGAAACGGGAAGAGCCCAAACCAACAAGCUUGCUUGUUGGGGUUGUAGGACACUCUAUACGGAGUUACAAAGGACGACAUUAGACGAAUCAUCUGGAAAGAUGAAUCAAAGAAGGUAAUAAUCCUGUAGUCGAAAAUGUUGUCUCUCUUGAGUGGAUCCUGAGUACGACGGAGCACGUGAAAUUCCGUCGGAAUCUGGGAGGACCAUCUCCUAAGGCUAAAUACUCUCUAGUGACCGAUAGUGAACCAGUACCGUGAGGGAAAGGUGAAAAGCACCCCGGAAGGGGAGUGAAAUAGAACCUGAAACCGUGUGCUUACAAGUAGUCAGAGCCCGUUAAUGGGUGAUGGCGUGCCUUUUGUAGAAUGAACCGGCGAGUUACGAUUUGAUGCAAGGUUAAGCAGUAAAUGUGGAGCCGUAGCGAAAGCAAGUCUGAAUAGGGCGUUUAGUAUUUGGUCGUAGACCCGAAACCAGGUGAUCUACCCUUGGUCAGGUUGAAGUUCAGGUAACACUGAAUGGAGGACCGAACCGACUUACGUUGAAAAGUGAGCGGAUGAACUGAGGGUAGCGGAGAAAUUCCAAUCGAACCUGGAGAUAGCUGGUUCUCUCCGAAAUAGCUUUAGGGCUAGCCUCAAGUGAUGAUUAUUGGAGGUAGAGCACUGUUUGGACGAGGGGCCCCUCUCGGGUUACCGAAUUCAGACAAACUCCGAAUGCCAAUUAAUUUAACUUGGGAGUCAGAACAUGGGUGAUAAGGUCCGUGUUCGAAAGGGAAACAGCCCAGACCACCAGCUAAGGUCCCAAAAUAUAUGUUAAGUGGAAAAGGAUGUGGCGUUGCCCAGACAACUAGGAUGUUGGCUUAGAAGCAGCCAUCAUUUAAAGAGUGCGUAAUAGCUCACUAGUCGAGUGACACUGCGCCGAAAAUGUACCGGGGCUAAACAUAUUACCGAAGCUGUGGAUUGUCCUUUGGACAAUGGUAGGAGAGCGUUCUAAGGGCGUUGAAGCAUGAUCGUAAGGACAUGUGGAGCGCUUAGAAGUGAGAAUGCCGGUGUGAGUAGCGAAAGACGGGUGAGAAUCCCGUCCACCGAUUGACUAAGGUUUCCAGAGGAAGGCUCGUCCGCUCUGGGUUAGUCGGGUCCUAAGCUGAGGCCGACAGGCGUAGGCGAUGGAUAACAGGUUGAUAUUCCUGUACCACCUAUAAUCGUUUUAAUCGAUGGGGGACGCAGUAGGAUAGGCGAAGCGUGCGAUUGGAUUGCACGUCUAAGCAGUAAGGCUGAGUAUUAGGCAAAUCCGGUACUCGUUAAGGCUGAGCUGUGAUGGGGAGAAGACAUUGAGUCUUCGAGUCGUUGAUUUCACACUGCCGAGAAAAGCCUCUAGAUAGAAAAUAGGUGCCCGUACCGCAAACCGACACAGGUAGUCAAGAUGAGAAUUCUAAGGUGAGCGAGCGAACUCUCGUUAAGGAACUCGGCAAAAUGACCCCGUAACUUCGGGAGAAGGGGUGCUCUUUAGGGUUAACGCCCAGAAGAGCCGCAGUGAAUAGGCCCAAGCGACUGUUUAUCAAAAACACAGGUCUCUGCUAAACCGUAAGGUGAUGUAUAGGGGCUGACGCCUGCCCGGUGCUGGAAGGUUAAGAGGAGUGGUUAGCUUCUGCGAAGCUACGAAUCGAAGCCCCAGUAAACGGCGGCCGUAACUAUAACGGUCCUAAGGUAGCGAAAUUCCUUGUCGGGUAAGUUCCGACCCGCACGAAAGGCGUAACGAUUUGGGCACUGUCUCAACGAGAGACUCGGUGAAAUCAUAGUACCUGUGAAGAUGCAGGUUACCCGCGACAGGACGGAAAGACCCCGUGGAGCUUUACUGUAGCCUGAUAUUGAAAUUCGGCACAGCUUGUACAGGAUAGGUAGGAGCCUUUGAAACGUGAGCGCUAGCUUACGUGGAGGCGCUGGUGGGAUACUACCCUAGCUGUGUUGGCUUUCUAACCCGCACCACUUAUCGUGGUGGGAGACAGUGUCAGGCGGGCAGUUUGACUGGGGCGGUCGCCUCCUAAAAGGUAACGGAGGCGCUCAAAGGUUCCCUCAGAAUGGUUGGAAAUCAUUCAUAGAGUGUAAAGGCAUAAGGGAGCUUGACUGCGAGACCUACAAGUCGAGCAGGGUCGAAAGACGGACUUAGUGAUCCGGUGGUUCCGCAUGGAAGGGCCAUCGCUCAACGGAUAAAAGCUACCCCGGGGAUAACAGGCUUAUCUCCCCCAAGAGUUCACAUCGACGGGGAGGUUUGGCACCUCGAUGUCGGCUCAUCGCAUCCUGGGGCUGUAGUCGGUCCCAAGGGUUGGGCUGUUCGCCCAUUAAAGCGGUACGCGAGCUGGGUUCAGAACGUCGUGAGACAGUUCGGUCCCUAUCCGUCGUGGGCGUAGGAAAUUUGAGAGGAGCUGUCCUUAGUACGAGAGGACCGGGAUGGACAUACCUCUGGUGUACCAGUUGUCGUGCCAACGGCAUAGCUGGGUAGCUAUGUGUGGACGGGAUAAGUGCUGAAAGCAUCUAAGCAUGAAGCCCCCCUCAAGAUGAGAUUUCCCAACUUCGGUUAUAAGAUCCCUCAAAGAUGAUGAGGUUAAUAGGUUCGAGGUGGAAGCAUGGUGACAUGUGGAGCUGACGAAUACUAAUCGAUCGAAGACUUAAUCA